CACUGCCGAGAAAAGCCUCUAGAUAGAAAAUAGGUGCCCGUACCGCAAACCGACACAGGUAGUCAAGAUGAGAAUUCUAAGGUGAGCGAGCGAACUCUCGUUAAGGAACUCGGCAAAAUGACCCCGUAACUUCGGGAGAAGGGGUGCUCUUUAGGGUUAACGCCCAGAAGAGCCGCAGUGAAUAGGCCCAAGCGACUGUUUAUCAAAAACACAGGUCUCUGCUAAACCGUAAGGUGAUGUAUAGGGGCUGACGCCUGCCCGGUGCUGGAAGGUUAAGAGGAGUGGUUAGCUUCUGCGAAGCUACGAAUCGAAGCCCCAGUAAACGGCGGCCGUAACUAUAACGGUCCU
RNAcentral lists this ribosomal RNA (348 nucleotides) under Staphylococcus aureus. RNAcentral's name for it is "partial 23S ribosomal RNA". It matches the Rfam family "Bacterial large subunit ribosomal RNA", at positions 1603 to 1952 of the family's 2925-position model. The record is from RNAcentral. Lineage: Bacteria; Bacillati; Bacillota; Bacilli; Caryophanales; Staphylococcaceae.